CGUAGGGUGCGAGCGUUAAUCGGAAUUACUGGGCGUAAAGUGUGCGCAGGCGGCCGCGCAAGUCGAGUGUGAAAGCCCCGAGCUUAACUUGGGAACUGCGCUCGAAACUACGUGGCUGGAGUGUGGCAGAGGAAGGUGGAAUUCCAGGUGUAGCGGUGAAAUGCGUAGAGAUCUGGAGGAACACCGAUGGCGAAGGCAGCCUUCUGGGCCAACACUGACGCUCAUGCACGAAAGCGUGGGGAGCAAACAGGAUUAGAUACCCUGGUAGUCCACGCCCUAAACAAUGAUGACUAGUUGUUGGAGGAGUUAAAUCCUUUAGUAACGCAGCUAACGCGUGAAGUCAUCCGCCUGGGGAGUACGGUCGCAAGAUUA
This 372-nucleotide ribosomal RNA is filed under the name uncultured organism. RNAcentral describes it as "bacterial SSU rRNA". It matches the Rfam family "Bacterial small subunit ribosomal RNA", at positions 526 to 896 of the family's 1533-position model. The record is from RNAcentral.